CAGCCGCCGCGGGAAUACAGAGGUCUCAAGCGUUGUUCGGAUUCAUUGGGCGUAAAGGAUGCGCAGGUGGCGGUGUAAGUCUAACGUGAAAUUUCGGGGCUCAACCUCGAAAUUGCGUCGGAUACUGCAUUGCUAGAGGAUUGUAGAGGAGAGUGGAAUUCAUGGUGUAGCAGUGAAAUGCGUAGAUAUCAUGAGGAAGACCAGUUGCGAAGGCGACUCUCUGGGCAAUUCCUGACACUGAGGCACGAAGGCUAGGGGAGCAAACGGGAUUAGAUACCCGCGUAGUCCCUGUCUCUUAUAC
RNAcentral lists this ribosomal RNA (301 nucleotides) under uncultured bacterium. RNAcentral describes it as "partial 16S ribosomal RNA". It matches the Rfam family "Bacterial small subunit ribosomal RNA", at positions 509 to 807 of the family's 1533-position model. The record is from RNAcentral.